GGCAAAUAAAGUUGGUUGUAGCAAAAUAAACAUGAAUAUAGUCAAUAUACAAAAGCUUAAGCCUUUUGUACCUACCUACUCCGCUGUCUCCAAUCAGAACGACUUUAAAUAAGUACGUAUAUGUUUCUUCCUCAGCUUUGGACAUAAUGAUACAGUGAACACCUCUAACUUCGAGCUGAUAAGCUCUUUAAUUUUUUCACGUUACUCUGAGCCAAGUAUUAUAUCUCGAAACGAAUGUACCGACAAAUAGUUUAAUAUAUUGUGUGUUUCUUCUCGACUAAUAAACGCCUGUCUGUCGUUCGCUU
Paramuricea clavata is the source of this 305-nucleotide non-coding RNA. The record is from the annotation of a GenBank genome assembly. Lineage: Eukaryota; Metazoa; Cnidaria; Anthozoa; Malacalcyonacea; Plexauridae.